Molecule: ribosomal RNA, 419 nt
Filed under: uncultured bacterium
Lineage: Bacteria
Description: bacterial SSU rRNA
Rfam family: Bacterial small subunit ribosomal RNA
Source: RNAcentral
AUUGAACGCUGGCGGAAUGCUUUACACAUGCAAGUCGAACGGUAGAGGGGGCAACCUCUCGAGAGUGGCGAACGGGUGAGUAAUAUAUCGGAACGUGCCCAGUCGUGGGGGAUAACGUAGCGAAAGUUACGCUAAUACCGCAUACGAUCUACGGAUGAAAGCGGGGGACUCGCAAGAGCCUCGCGCGAUUGGAGCGGCCGAUAUCAGAUUAGGUAGUUGGUGGGGUAAAAGGCCUACCAAGCCGACGAUCUGUAGCUGGUCUGAGAGGACGACCAGCCACACUGGGACUGAGACACGGCCCAGACUCCUACGGAGGCAGCAGUGGGGAAUUUUGGACAAUGGCGCAAGCCUGAUCCAGCCAUUCCGCGUGCAGGAUGAAGGCCUCGGUUGUAAACUGCUUUGUACGGUACGAAACGGCG